CUAGAAAUUCAUGAAUUUGAGCCAAGGUAUUAUUACGCUCUUUGUAACCUUCUCCGCUUCUUUGGAGCACGACGACGUUGGAUUGUCGCCGUCCUUCGACGCCGCCUUUUUGGUGCACAAGAAGAAAUUUCGCGAUCCCAGCGCCAUCAGCUUCUCUCCCCUUUCUAAACCUGCGCCCCACCACACAGAAAAAAAUAUUAGGAUUCAAUCUCAAAUGUACACCAGUACUCAAAAAGAUAAACAUCACUGAUUGAACGGCUAGUUAUUCUUUAUCAGAAGGUUUUGUCUUACUCUCUAAGCUAAAUUGAGAAUAAUGGAGGUCCAACAGCGAGGCGUCCGUUGACGGUAAGAUCGGACGGCGACCUUCCUUCGAGUACUGACGAACGGCGGCGGUUAUUAAGUCACCGACAGUGUUUUCCGGCGACAGCACUACUUGUACAGCUCCGAGACUCCCUUGAAUGGUCACGUUCAACAGCAGCUUCGUCAACUUCGGCCUCGCAUCCGG
This 505-nucleotide long non-coding RNA is filed under the name Gossypium barbadense (sea-island cotton). RNAcentral's name for it is "long non-coding RNA (GBAR_LNC017745)". The record is from RNAcentral. Lineage: Eukaryota; Viridiplantae; Streptophyta; Magnoliopsida; Malvales; Malvaceae.